This 618-nucleotide ribosomal RNA is filed under the name uncultured bacterium. RNAcentral describes it as "bacterial SSU rRNA". It matches the Rfam family "Bacterial small subunit ribosomal RNA", at positions 261 to 872 of the family's 1533-position model. The record is from RNAcentral.
AGGCCUACCAAGGCGACGAUCUGUAGCGGGUCUGAGAGGAUAAUCCGCCACACUGGAAUUGAGACACGGUCCAGACUCCUACGGGAGGCAGCAGUGGGGAAUUUUGGACAAUGGGGGCAACCCUGAUCCAGCCAUGCCGCGUGAGUGAAGAAGGCCUUCGGGUUGUAAAGCUCUUUCGGCCGGGAAGAAAUCGCAUGGGCUAAUACCCUGUGUGGAUGACGGUACCGUAAGAAUAAGCACCGGCUAACUACGUGCCAGCAGCCGCGGUAAUACGUAGGGUGCGAGCGUUAAUCGGAAUUACUGGGCGUAAAGCGUGCGCAGGCGGUGAUGUAAGACAGAUGUGAAAUCCCCGGGCUCAACCUGGGAACUGCAUUUGUGACUGCAUCGCUGGAGUGCGGCAGAGGGGGAUGGAAUUCCGCGUGUAGCAGUGAAAUGCGUAGAUAUGCGGAGGAACACCGAUGGCGAAGGCAAUCCCCUGGGCCUGCACUGACGCUCAUGCACGAAAGCGUGGGGAGCAAACAGGAUUAGAUACCCUGGUAGUCCACGCCCUAAACGAUGUCAACUGGUUGUUGGUCCUUCACUGGAUCAGUAACGAAGCUAACGCGUGAAGUUGACCGC